GCGGCCGUAGCUCAAUUGGCAGAGCACCCUUUCUUACAAGAUUGGGAGGUGGGGGUUCAAAUCCCUCCGGCUGUA
Molecule: transfer RNA, 75 nt
Filed under: Candidatus Lloydbacteria bacterium
Lineage: Bacteria; Candidatus Lloydiibacteriota
Description: tRNA-OTHER
Rfam family: tRNA
About the family: Transfer RNA (tRNA) molecules are approximately 80 nucleotides in length. Their secondary structure includes four short double-helical elements and three loops (D, anti-codon, and T loops).
Source: RNAcentral